AACGAACGCUGGCGGCAUGCCUAACACAUGCAAGUCGAACGAGAUCUUCGGGUCUAGUGGCGCACGGGUGCGUAACGCGUGGGAAUCUGCCCUUUGGUUCGGAAUCACAGUUGGAAACGACUGCUAAUACCGGAUGAUGACGAAAGUCCAAAGAUUUAUCGCCAGAGGAUGAGCCCGCGUAGGAUUAGCUAGUUGGUGUGGUAAAGGCGCACCAAGGCGACGAUCCUUAGCUGGUCUGGGAGGAUGAUCAGCCACACUGGGACUGAGACACGGCCCAGACUCCUACGGGAGGCAGCAGUGGGGAAUAUUGGACAAUGGGCGAAAGCCUGAUCCAGCAAUGCCGCGUGAGUGAUGAAGGCCAUAGGGUUGUAAAGCUCUUUUACCCGGGAUGAUAAUGACAGUACCGGGAGAAUAAGCUCCGGCUAACUCCGUGCCAGCCGCCGCGGUAA
This 449-nucleotide ribosomal RNA is filed under the name uncultured bacterium. RNAcentral's name for it is "partial 16S ribosomal RNA". It matches the Rfam family "Bacterial small subunit ribosomal RNA", at positions 29 to 523 of the family's 1533-position model. The record is from RNAcentral.